UGUUUACCUCUUCUUUUGCAGAUGGCUUGAUAUAGAUGAAGAUGCAGCUGCCAUAAGUGAUGGAAACCACAGUAAUAUGUGAAGAACAG
Molecule: non-coding RNA, 89 nt
Filed under: Pan troglodytes (chimpanzee)
Lineage: Eukaryota; Metazoa; Chordata; Mammalia; Primates; Hominidae
Source: RNAcentral